RNAcentral lists this ribosomal RNA (814 nucleotides) under uncultured Actinomycetes bacterium. RNAcentral describes it as "bacterial SSU rRNA". It matches the Rfam family "Bacterial small subunit ribosomal RNA", at positions 69 to 896 of the family's 1533-position model. Lineage: Bacteria; Bacillati; Actinomycetota; Actinomycetes. The record is from RNAcentral.
AGGCCUGCAGCUUGCUGCGGGUACUCGAGUGGCGAACGGGUGAGUAACACGUGGGUGAUCUGCCUUGCACUUCGGGAUAAGCUUGGGAAACUGGGUCUAAUACCGGAUAGGACAGCUGUUUAGUGUCAGUUGUGGAAAGUUUUUUCGGUGCAAGAUGAGCUCGCGGCCUAUCAGCUUGUUGGUGGGGUAAUGGCCUACCAAGGCGUCGACGGGUAGCCGGCCUGAGAGGGUGUACGGCCACAUUGGGACUGAGAUACGGCCCAGACUCCUACGGGAGGCAGCAGUGGGGAAUAUUGCACAAUGGGCGGAAGCCUGAUGCAGCGACGCCGCGUGGGGGAUGAAGGCCUUCGGGUUGUAAACUCCUUUCGACAGGGACGAAGCGUAAGUGACGGUACCUGUAUAAGAAGCACCGGCUAACUACGUGCCAGCAGCCGCGGUAAUACGUAGGGUGCGAGCGUUGUCCUGAAUUACUGGGCGUAAAGAGCUCGUAGGUGGUUUGUCGCGUCGUCUGUGAAAUUCCGGGGCUUAACUCCGGGCGUGCAGGCGAUACGGGCUGACUUGAGUGCUGUAGGGGAGACUGGAAUUCCUGGUGUAGCGGUGAAAUGCGCAGAUAUCAGGAGGAACACCGAUGGCGAAGGCAGGUCUCUGGGCAGUAACUGACGCUGAGGAGCGAAAGCAUGGGUAGCGAACAGGAUUAGAUACCCUGGUAGUCCAUGCCGUAAACGGUGGGCGCUAGGUGUAGGGGGCUUCCACGUCUUCUGUGCCGUAGCUAACGCAUUAAGCGCCCCGCCUGGGGAGUACGGCCGCAAGGCUA